This 457-nucleotide long non-coding RNA is filed under the name Physcomitrium patens. Its description in RNAcentral is "long non-coding RNA (PPAT_LNC013461)". Lineage: Eukaryota; Viridiplantae; Streptophyta; Bryopsida; Funariales; Funariaceae. The record is from RNAcentral.
UUUGUUUGUUUUGUCUUAUCAUUAGAUAAACUUUCUUCUUAGAAGUAAGAAAAGAAAAUAAUUUAUCUUUAUAAAAUUUGACCAAAAAAUUUGCCUUAUAUCUUAUAAGUCUUUUAUAAAUGUUUCUUAACUUUGGAUAUUCUCAUUGAUUAAAAUUCCUACAUUUUUUCAUCAACUUAGAUAAUUCAUCACAAAUUAAAAAUAAAUUUGGUGUUUCUUUAUUAAAAUGUUUCUUAUAGUUUUUUCAAUCCUUCAUUUUAUUUUUGAAAGAAUAUAUAUAUAGCAUUGCAAAUAAAAAAUAUUUAUAUUAUAAAAACAUGUUUAAUUGACUUUGUUUCAUCAUCUAAUACUUCAAAAGCUAUAUAUCUUGGUGUAUUAUAAAUAAAAUUAUUAUUAUUAUUUUCUAGAGACCUUCCAAUAUUAAUCUUAAAGGUACCAAAAUUACUUGUUUUUAAUA